GACGAAGGUGACGACCGUUGCUCGGAAUCACUGGGCAUAAAGCGCGCGCAGGUGGUUUCUUAAGUCUGAUGUGAAAGCCCACGGCUCAACCGUGGAGGGUCAUUGGAAACUGGGGAACUUGAGUGCAGAAGAGGAAAGUGGAAUUCCAAGUGUAGCGGUGAAAUGCGUAGAGAUUUGGAGGAACACCAGUGGCGAAGGCGACUUUCUGGUCUGUAACUGACACUGAGGCGCGAAAGCGUGGGGAGCGAACAGG
RNAcentral lists this ribosomal RNA (253 nucleotides) under uncultured bacterium. Its description in RNAcentral is "partial 16S ribosomal RNA". It matches the Rfam family "Bacterial small subunit ribosomal RNA", at positions 524 to 776 of the family's 1533-position model. The record is from RNAcentral.